Molecule: ribosomal RNA, 486 nt
Filed under: uncultured bacterium
Lineage: Bacteria
Description: partial 16S ribosomal RNA
Rfam family: Bacterial small subunit ribosomal RNA
Source: RNAcentral
AUUGAACGCUGGCGGCAUGCCUUACACAUGCAAGUCGAACGGCAGCACGGGUGCUUGCACCUGGUGGCGAGUGGCGAACGGGUGAGUAAUACAUCGGAACAUGUCCUGUAGUGGGGGAUAGCCCGGCGAAAGCCGGAUUAAUACCGCAUACGAUCUACGGAUGAAAGCGGGGGACCUUCGGGCCUCGCGCUAUAGGGUUGGCCGAUAGCUGAUUAGCUAGUUGGUGGGGUAAAGGCCUACCAAGGCGACGAUCAGUAGCUGGUCUGAGAGGACGACCAGCGACACUGGGACUGAGACACGGCCCAGACUCCUACGGGAGGCAGCAGUGGGGAAUUUUGGACAAUGGGCGAAAGCCUGAUCCAGCAAUGCCGCGUGUGUGAAGAAGGCCUUCGGGUUGUAAAGCACUUUUGUCCGGAAAGAAAUCCUUGGCUCUAAUACAGUCGGGGGAUGACGGUACCGGAAGAAUAAGCACCGGCUAACUACGUG